RNAcentral lists this long non-coding RNA (2413 nucleotides) under Macaca mulatta (Rhesus monkey). RNAcentral describes it as "lncRNA (ENSMMUG00000051642.1)". Lineage: Eukaryota; Metazoa; Chordata; Mammalia; Primates; Cercopithecidae. The record is from RNAcentral.
UAAAACUGUCAGGAUUUUCAGGCUACUGCUGGAAGUGGGCGCUGAAAGGACGAAUUUGCUUCAAGGAGAUCUCAUCCCGAGAGGAGAACAUCGUGCAUCUAAGUCUGCAGCCGGAUGAGACUCUGGUUCUCCACCACUGUAUUCCUGGUGCCUAGAACCACCUUGAAGUUAGUAGGUGCUCGGUAAAUAUGCAUGAAUGAAUCUAGCAGGACAAUAGGGCCCAAAGGACAUGAGGAGUGAACCUCCCUUGUGGAACAGUCAUUACAGGGAGGAUGUGUUCCUAAGACUCACUGAAAGCAAGAACUGGCCUUAACCACAGCAGGAAGAAACCUGUUCUUGGAAGAUUGGUGGCAAGUCUCUUGAGAGAGUAGGAUGUAAGAUACAGAAAAAAGCUGCUAAAGAUACAAAGAAGUGAAAGAAUGUACUCAUUGGAAAUACAAAUAGGAUAUUACACUCAAAUUUUGAUUCUCUCUAGGUCUUGACUCACCAAGUGACCCACAUAGGUCACGUAUGAGGAGAUCAAGGCCCCUUGGGCAGCCAUGGAACACUGAGGUGGUUACAAACUAAGGUGGUGGAGUCAAGACGACCACUUUGGGCAGAAAAGAAUUCCACUUCUAUUUGAUAGAGCUAUGCUCAAGUGACUUGCUUGAUAAAGCUAUGCUCAAGAUGACUUGCCUUGGAAUCUUAGCUCUGACAUUUUAUGACCUUGGACAAUCACUUCAAGCUCUUUAACACUUAAUUUCUUCAUUUGUAAAACUGGAAUAAUAAUGGUAACUACUGGAAAAGAGUUGUUACAAUGAUUCCAGUAAAUACUAGGGACAAGUAUUUAGUCUACGGCCUGACACGCUUUGAGGGCUCAAUGAUUGCCAUCUUCCUUUACUGCGCUCUUAGGAAUCCAGAGGCAAAUCUAAGUAUGUCAUCAGCAAGGACCAGAAGGGAAGAAUUCUUCCAAGAUAUACAAAGAAAUCCCUUUCACACGCCAAAAGUCUGUCGAUGGAGGAAGAAAACUUCGGCUAGUUCACCUUUUCCUUUUAUGGAUGAAGAAAUGGAAGUUCAGAAAAGGGAAGUGAAUUGGUUAAGGAGACAUCUGGAAGGUCUCCUGACCCUGUCCUAACUUGUUGCUACAACACAUUUCAUUUUGUCAUUUUGAUUUUUUUUCAAAUUUGGGUCUUCUUAUGAAUAUGUUUUUUUUUUUAAGACAGGGUCUUGCUAUGUUGCCCAGGCUGGCCUCAAACUCCAGGCCCAAGGGAUCCUCCCACCUCAGCCUCCUGAGUAGCUGGGACUACAGGUGUAAGCCACCCCUCCAAGUUCUAUGAGUAUCUUAUUACUGCAAACACUACAAAAAUAAUACCGUGAUACAUACUUUCUUGCUUUUUAGUUAAAGCCAUGCUAUCCCCUUUGCUCUUGCAGGUGCCAGGAGUAAGCAGACAGUCCUAGGAAUAUUGUAGGUGGAUCUGGGUUCCCCAGGGUGGUAGCAGUUCUCAUCUGUUCUCUGGAGGAUAAACUUCUGCCAUCUCCUCCCCUGUCAUGGCCUGAGCAGUGCCCUGCUGCUAAGGUGCCUUCAGCUGCUAGGGCUCCCCAGGGAUUGGCCCAGAGCACCUCUGAGGAGCAUAAUGUUUGGAACCAUCUUAGCCAGUUGUGUUGACAUAGACAAAUUAACUUGUCCUAUGUGUAUAUCAUAAGGUAAAGACAAUGUGAUGACAUAUACAUAUGUACUGUUAGUGAUUUGCUUCUUUUCCUGUUCUUACUCUCCAAGAACAAGGUAAAUAUCUGGGGCCAGAGAGAAUGACUCAGCCAUCUCUGAACUGACUUUGACUUUGCAGCCUGGUUUAAUGGAAGCAGAAAGUCUUUGGAAACAGACUUGGCCUCAAACCUCAGCUAUGCCACCUACUAGUUGUGUGGCUUUGGGUAAGUUAUUUGAGUUCAGUUUCCUCAUCCAUAAAUGACUAUUGUGAGGAUUAAAUAAGACGGUGCAUGAAACUGCUGGCAACUGUUAAAGCCUCUCCAUAAAUGUUAGUUCUCUUUCCUUUGUAAUACGUAGAUCAGGGUUUCUCAACAUUUAUCACUACUCCUGAGAAAGAGGCUUUGUAGACAUUUUAGAGAUUUCCCCCAUACAAAUUUAAUAGCAGAGAUAAACUGUAUAUCUGCUCAUGUGCUAUAUGCAUAUCUGUCUUUUAUACACUCAAAUAUAUAUUUGUUUGCCCUUGAUGAUCAAUUUUUCACCCAGUUGGGAGUGAUAUCUUCCCCAUUGAGAAUGAACAUCUUAAUGGAGUAGCCUGUACUCUACACUACCAGAUCAUUAAGUGACCCAUGGCACCAGUUUCACCUGUCUGAUGUGGCAUCUCGCCAGAGGAUUGAUAACAAUUUUCUGGAAAACAUUUAUAAAACCAAGUGAUCUGGAUUUAGAGAUACU